CGUCCCCUCCUUCUGGAUUCCCGUUCCUGCUAUUGAUUUAGUGGGAACGUCACAGGGAGCCAGUCGUGUAAAAGCGGCUGGUUUCUGGGGCCCAGAUCGUUUACCGUGAAAAAAUUAGAGUGUUCAAAGCGGGCAGAUAUUUUUCCUGCCACCGAAUACAUUAGCAUGGGAUAAUGGAAUAGGACCCUGACCUCCUAUUUUCAGUUGGUUUUGUUUAUACAGCGAGGUUCAUCAGGGUAAUGAUUAAUAGGGAUAGUUGGGGGCAUUAAUAUUUAAUUGUCAGAGGUGAAAUUCUUGGAUUUAUGAAAGAUUAACUUCUGCGAAAGCGUUUGCCAAGGAUGUUUUCAUUAAUCAAGAACGAAAGUUAGGGGAUCGAAGACGAUCAGAUACCGUCGUAGUCUUAACCAUAAACGAUGCCGACCAGCGAUUAGGAGACGUUGAAUACAAAACACCGCUGUUAAUCCUUUCGGGGAUUAAUAGUUGGUGAAUGACUCCCCUAGCAGCUUGUGAGAAGUCA
This 517-nucleotide ribosomal RNA is filed under the name Acanthamoeba sp. JPH7. Its description in RNAcentral is "SSU rRNA". It matches the Rfam family "Eukaryotic small subunit ribosomal RNA", at positions 687 to 1100 of the family's 1831-position model. Lineage: Eukaryota; Discosea; Longamoebia; Acanthamoebidae. The record is from RNAcentral.